RNAcentral lists this ribosomal RNA (228 nucleotides) under uncultured Pseudomonas sp. RNAcentral's name for it is "partial 16S ribosomal RNA". It matches the Rfam family "Bacterial small subunit ribosomal RNA", at positions 1158 to 1382 of the family's 1533-position model. Lineage: Bacteria; Pseudomonadati; Pseudomonadota; Gammaproteobacteria; Pseudomonadales; Pseudomonadaceae. The record is from RNAcentral.
ACAAACCGGAGGAAGGUGGGGAUGACCGUCAAGUCCAUCAUGGCCCUUACGGCCUGGGCUACACACGUGCUACAAUGGUCGGUACAAAGGGUUGGCCAAGCCGCGAGGUGGAGCUAAUCCCAUAAAACCGAUCGUAGUCCGGAUCGCAGUCUGCAACUCGACUGCGUGAAGUCGGAAUCGCUAGUAAUCGUGAAUCAGAAUGUCACGGUGAAUACGUUCCCGGGCCUU